RNAcentral lists this ribosomal RNA (518 nucleotides) under uncultured bacterium. RNAcentral's name for it is "bacterial SSU rRNA". It matches the Rfam family "Bacterial small subunit ribosomal RNA", at positions 15 to 518 of the family's 1533-position model. The record is from RNAcentral.
GAUUCUGGCUCAGGAUGAACGCUAGCUACAGGCUUAACACAUGCAAGUCGAGGGGCAGCAUUGGGAUAGCUUGCUAUCCAGAUGGCGACCGGCGCACGGGUGCGUAACACGUAUCCAAUCUACCCAUGGCUCAGGGAUAGCCUUUCGAAAGAAAGAUUAAUACCUGAUGGUCUUAUCUGGAGACAUCUCCUAGUAAGUAAAGAUAUAUCGGCGAUGGAUGAGGAUGCGUCCGAUUAGCUUGUUGGCGGGGUAACGGCCCACCAAGGCAUCGAUCGGUAGGGGUUCUGAGAGGAACGGUCCCCCACACUGGAACUGAGACACGGUCCAGACUCCUACGGGAGGCAGCAGUGAGGAAUAUUGGUCAAUGGGCGAAGGCCUGAACCAGCCAAGGUUAAGCGUGAAGGAAGACUGCCCUACGGGUUGUUAAACUUCUUUUGUAUGGGAAUAAAGUGUCCUACGUGUAGGAUUUUGUAUGUACCUUACGAAUAAGCAUCGGCUAAUUCCGUGCCAGCCGCAGC